Molecule: transfer RNA, 69 nt
Filed under: Rattus norvegicus (Norway rat)
Lineage: Eukaryota; Metazoa; Chordata; Mammalia; Rodentia; Muridae
Rfam family: tRNA
About the family: Transfer RNA (tRNA) molecules are approximately 80 nucleotides in length. Their secondary structure includes four short double-helical elements and three loops (D, anti-codon, and T loops). Further hydrogen bonds mediate the characteristic L-shaped molecular structure. tRNAs have two regions of fundamental functional importance: the anti-codon, which is responsible for specific mRNA codon recognition, and the 3' end, to which the tRNAs corresponding amino acid is attached (by aminoacyl-tRNA synthetases). tRNAs cope with the degeneracy of the genetic code in two manners: having more than one tRNA (with a specific anti-codon) for a particular amino acid; and 'wobble' base-pairing, i.e. permitting non-standard base-pairing at the 3rd anti-codon position.
Source: Rfam by way of RNAcentral
GGAGAUUUAGCUCAGUGGUAGAGCGCUUGCCUAGCAAGCACAAGGCCCUGGGUUCGGUCCCUAGCUCCG